RNAcentral lists this ribosomal RNA (481 nucleotides) under uncultured bacterium. RNAcentral describes it as "bacterial SSU rRNA". It matches the Rfam family "Bacterial small subunit ribosomal RNA", at positions 28 to 529 of the family's 1533-position model. The record is from RNAcentral.
GACGAACGCUGGCGGCGUGCCUAAGACAUGCAAGUCGAGCGAGGGGGCUUCGGCCUCCUAGCGGCGGACGGGUGAGUAACACGUGGGCAACCUGCCCUUCAGCCCGGGAUAACCGCCGGAAACGGUGGCUAAUACCGGAUGCGGUGAUCGGGUCGCAUGGCCUGAUCACGAAAGUUUCGGCGCUGAAGGAUGGGCCCGCGUCCCAUUAGCUGGUUGGUGAGGUAACGGCUCACCAAGGCGACGAUGGGUAGCCGGCCUGAGAGGGUGGACGGCCACACUGGGACUGAGACACGGCCCAGACUCCUACGGGAGGCAGCAGUCGGGAAUCUUCCACAAUGGGCGAAAGCCUGAUGGAGCGACGCCGCGUGAGGGAAGAAGGUCUUCGGAUCGUAAACCUCUGUCCUCAGGGACGAUGAUGACGGUACCUGAGGAGGAAGCCACGGCUAACUACGUGCCAGCAGCCGCGGUAAGCAUACUCGUA